This 484-nucleotide ribosomal RNA is filed under the name uncultured bacterium. RNAcentral's name for it is "partial 16S ribosomal RNA". It matches the Rfam family "Bacterial small subunit ribosomal RNA", at positions 30 to 507 of the family's 1533-position model. The record is from RNAcentral.
AUUGAACGCUGGCGGCAGGCCUAACACAUGCAAGUCGAGCGGAUGAAGGGAGCUUGCUCCUGGAUUCAGCGGCGGACGGGUGAGUAAUGCCUAGGAAUCUACCUGGUAGUGGGGGAUAACGUCCGGAAACGGGCGCUAAUACCGCAUACGUCCUGAGGGAGAAAGAGGGGGAUCUUCGGACCUCACGCUAUCAGAUGAGCCUAGGUCGGAUUAGCUAGUUGGUGGGGUAAAGGCCUACCAAGGCGACGAUCCGUAACUGGUCUGAGAGGAUGAUCAGUCACCCUGGAACUGAGACACGGUCCACACUCCUACGGGAGGCAGCAGUGGGGAAUAUUGGACAAUGGGCGAAAGCCUGAUCCAGCCAUGCCGCGUGUGUGAAGAAGGUCUUCGGAUUGGAAAGCAAUUUAAGUUGGGAGGAAGGGCAGUAAGUUAAUACCUUGCUGUUUUGACGUUACCAACAGAAGAAGCACCGGCUAACUUCGUG